ACGUAGGGACCAAGCGUUGUUCGGAUUUACUGGGCGUAAAGCGCGCGUAGGCGGUUGGGAAAGUUGGAUGUGAAAGCCCUGGGCUUAACCUGGGAAUUGCAUCCAAAACUACCCGGCUAGAGUGCAGCAGAGGAUGGUGGAAUUCCCGGUGUAGCGGUGAAAUGCGUAGAUAUCAUGAGGAAUACCAGAGGCGAAGGCGGCUACCUGGACAAUUGCUGACGCUCAGGCACGAAAGCGUGGGGAGCAAAAGGGA
This 253-nucleotide ribosomal RNA is filed under the name uncultured prokaryote. RNAcentral's name for it is "partial 16S ribosomal RNA". It matches the Rfam family "Bacterial small subunit ribosomal RNA", at positions 525 to 777 of the family's 1533-position model. The record is from RNAcentral.